AACGAACGCUGGCGGCAGGCCUAACACAUGCAAGUCGAGCGCCCGUAGCAAUACGGGAGCGGCAGACGGGUGAGUAACACGUGGGAACGUGCCCAAAGGUACGGAACAACUCCGGGAAACUGGAGCUAAUACCGUAUGUGCCCGAAAGGGGAAAGAUUUAUCGCCUUUGGAUCGGCCCGCGUCUGAUUAGCUAGUUGGUGAGGUAAUGGCUCACCAAGGCGACGAUCAGUAGCUGGUCGAGAGGAUGAUCAGCCACACUGGGACUGAGACACGGCCCAGACUCCUACGGGAGGCAGCAGUGGGGAAUAUUGGACAAUGGGCGCAAGCCUGAUCCAGCCAUGCCGCGUGAGUGAUGAAGGCCCUAGGGUUGUAAAGCUCUUUCGGCGGGGACGAUAAUGACGGUACCCGCAGAAGAAGCCCCGGCUAACUUCGUGCCAGCAGCCGCAGU
RNAcentral lists this ribosomal RNA (448 nucleotides) under uncultured bacterium. RNAcentral's name for it is "bacterial SSU rRNA". It matches the Rfam family "Bacterial small subunit ribosomal RNA", at positions 29 to 521 of the family's 1533-position model. The record is from RNAcentral.